Molecule: long non-coding RNA, 929 nt
Filed under: Polistes fuscatus (common paper wasp)
Lineage: Eukaryota; Metazoa; Arthropoda; Insecta; Hymenoptera; Vespidae
Description: uncharacterized LOC122514635, transcript variant X2
Source: RNAcentral
UCGCGACGCGCCACGUGCGGUGCUACAUACACCAACGGGAAGAGAUACGACCUAUGAAAUUCGUUUCUUCCUUCCUCUUCUUCUUCCUCUUCUUCUUCUUCUUCUUCUUGUCCUUCUUCUUCUUCUUCUUCUAUUUCUACUACUCGUUCUUCCUUUUCUUUCUUAUCCUAUCGUUUGUCUUCUUCAUCUUCAUUUACGUCUCUCAGUUUUAUGUACAUUUUCUAUCAGUUGUUUCCUAUCCUAGUGUCCAUCAGAGUCAAUUUGUUAUAAUGACGAAUUUUUGUUUACAUUGACAGUGAAUAAGACGUUUUCUUUUCGUUUCUCUCUUUCUCUCUUUCUUUCUCUCUUUCUCUCUCGUUGAAAACUAGAGUUUCUCGCGUCAAAUUCAUUCGUCGAGGGAAAUAAAACAACAGAAGACGAGAGUGUGCUACUACUACUAUCUAACCGUGUUAAAGGACGAGAAAAUAACUUGAAGAAAAAACCAAAACAAAAACUAUAACAAAAAGACGAGCCGAGGAAUCGGGGGGACUGGUGGGUGGUGGGUGUUGGGUGGUGGUGUUGGGUGGCUUUCAAAUCUACUCUAUGAGAAGGGAAAGGCUUGAAGAGAGAACAAUAAAGAACGAUCGGAGAAUACCGACGGAAAAUGUCGCUAGUCGAUGGUCUCAGGACGUGAGUGAGAAGUUGAUUAUUAAAAUAUAAAGUGUCGAUAAGCCGGUUGAUAAACCUUCCUCACCCCAAAAACCCAAUAAAAAGAAGAAGAAGAACAACAACACGUCAACUAUUAACAAUACGGAGGAGGAUUUCAACAAUAUGUCUUACCUGGCUUUGGACUCCAACGCAUGGCAGUUGUGACCGAAGAACGGUGCUCGACCUUUGGAUGAUAAUAUUUCGGCGGUAAAGUUCAAAAUGACGUUCAGAUGCAUGCCGGC